GACGAACGCUGGCGGCGUGCUUAACACAUGCAAGUCGAACGGAAAGGCCCUGCUUUUGUGUGGUUCUCGAGUGGCGAACGGGUGAGUAACACGUGAGUAACCUGCCCUUGACUUUGGGAUAACUCCAGGAAACUGGGGCUAAUACCGGAUAGGAUCUCCUGCUGCAUGGUGUUGGUUAGAGAGUUUCGGCGGUUGUGGAUGGACUCGCGGCUUAUGAGCUUGUUUGUGGUGUAGUUGUUUCCCAAGGUUUUGACGGGUAGCCGGCAUGAGAGGGUGACCGGCCACAUUGGGACUGAGAUAGGGCACAGACUCAUACGGGAGGCAGCAGGGGGAAAUAUUGCACAAUGGGCGGACGUGUGAUGCAGAAACGCCGCGUGCGGGAUGACGGCUUUCGGGGUGUAAACCGAUUUCUACGGUGACGAAGAGUGAGUGACGGUAACGGGUAAAGAAGCACCGGCUAACUACGUG
This 468-nucleotide ribosomal RNA is filed under the name uncultured bacterium. RNAcentral's name for it is "partial 16S ribosomal RNA". It matches the Rfam family "Bacterial small subunit ribosomal RNA", at positions 28 to 507 of the family's 1533-position model. The record is from RNAcentral.